Molecule: ribosomal RNA, 430 nt
Filed under: uncultured bacterium
Lineage: Bacteria
Description: bacterial SSU rRNA
Rfam family: Bacterial small subunit ribosomal RNA
Source: RNAcentral
GGGCCCGCACAAGCGGUGGAGCAUGUGGUUUAAUUCGACGCAACGCGAAGAACCUUACCAGGUCUUGACAUCCUGAUUUUGGUUGUUAGAAAUAACUUACUUCAGUUCGGCUGGAUCAGUGACAGGUGCUGCAUGGCUGUCGUCAGCUCGUGUCGUGAGAUGUUGGGUUAAGUCCCGCAACGAGCGCAACCCUCACUUUUAGUUGCCAUCAUUAAGUUGGGCACUCUGAAAGAACUGCCAGUGAUAAGCUGGAGGAAGGUGGGGAUGACGUCAAGUCCUCAUGGCCCUUACGUGUUGGGCUACACACGUGCUACAAUGGCAUUUACAAUAGGAAGCAAGAUGGCGACAUCAAGCAAAUCCUAAAAAGAUGCCUCAGUUCGGAUUGUACUCUGCAACUCGAGUACAUGAAGCUGGAAUUACUAGUAAUCGC